Molecule: non-coding RNA, 169 nt
Filed under: Bacillus sp. (in: firmicutes)
Lineage: Bacteria; Bacillati; Bacillota; Bacilli; Caryophanales; Bacillaceae
Also listed under: 1 other name
Description: Bacillus sp. GlcN6P sequence
Rfam family: glmS glucosamine-6-phosphate activated ribozyme aptamer
About the family: This entry contains a glucosamine-6-phosphate activated ribozyme that is found in the mRNA for GlmS. GlmS is an enzyme that uses fructose-6-phosphate and glutamine to generate glucosamine-6-phosphate.
Source: RNAcentral
GGUUGAAGGAAAGCGCCAGCACUGCGUUUGCCCGACACGGAGCGCAGUGGACGAGGAGGAGGUUUAUCGAAGGUUCGGCGGAUGCCUCCCGGUAGCUGUAUCACUGCCGCGGAGCGCGGGAACAAAACAGCAGGGCGACCUGUUGGACAAAACCCGCGCAUGAUACACG